GAACUUAAGCAUAUCAAUAAGCGGAGGAAAAGAAACUAACAAGGAUUCCCCUAGUAACUGCGAGUGAAGCGGGAAAAGCUCAAAUUUAAAAUCUGGCGUGCCUCUGGUCGUCCGAGUUGUAGUUUAGAGAAGCGUUUUCUGUGUUGGACCGUGUAUAAGUCUCUUGGAACAGGGCGUCAUAGAGGGUGAGAAUCCCGUCUUUGACACGGACUACCAAUGCUUUGUGAUACGCUCUCAAAGAGUCGAGUUGUUUGGGAAUGCAGCUCAAAAUGGGUGGUAAAUUCCAUCUAAAGCUAAAUAUAGGCGAGAGACCGAUAGCGAACAAGUACCGUGAGGGAAAGAUGAAAAGCACUUUGGAAAGAGAGUUAAACAGUACGUGAAAUUGCUGAAAGGGAAACGCUUGAAGUCAGUCACGUCUGCCAGGACUCAGCCUUGCUUCUGCUUGGUGUACUUUCUGGUUGGAUGGGCCAACAUCGAUUUCGACCGUUGGAGAAAGGCUUUGGGAAUGUGGCACCUUCGGGUGUGUUAUAGCCCUUUGUUGUAUACAAUGGUUGGGAUCGAGGACUGCAGCAUGCCUUCAUGGCCGGGGUUCGCCCACGUACAUGCUUAGGAUGUUGGCAUAAUGGCUUUAAGCGACCCGUCUUGAAACACGGACCAAGGAGUCUAACAUGCCUGCGAGUGUUUGGGUGGAAAACCCAUGCGCGUAAUGAAAGUGAUAGCUGAGAUCCUCUCAUCAGGAGCAUCAGCGCCUGGACUUGAUCUACGGAGACGGUUCUACGGUAGAGCAUGUAUGUUGGGACCCGAAA
This 806-nucleotide ribosomal RNA is filed under the name uncultured fungus. RNAcentral's name for it is "eukaryotic LSU rRNA". It matches the Rfam family "Eukaryotic large subunit ribosomal RNA", at positions 30 to 821 of the family's 3401-position model. The record is from RNAcentral. Lineage: Eukaryota; Fungi.